AGUGAACGCUGGCGGUAGGCCUAACACAUGCAAGUCGAACGGCAGCACAGUAAGAGCUUGCUCUUACGGGUGGCGAGUGGCGGACGGGUGAGGAAUACAUCGGAAUCUACUUUUUCGUGGGGGAUAACGUAGGGAAACUUACGCUAAUACCGCAUACGACCUACGGGUGAAAGCAGGGGAUCUUCGGACCUUGCGCGAUUGAAUGAGCCGAUGUCGGAUUAGCUAGUUGGCGGGGUAAAGGCCCACCAAGGCGACGAUCCGUAGCUGGUCUGAGAGGAUGAUCGGCCACACUGGAACUGAGACACGGUCCAGACUCCUACGGGAGGCAGCAGUGUGGAAUAGUGGACAAUGGGCGCAAGCCUGAUCCAGCCAUACCGCGUGGGUGAAGAAGGCCUUCGGGUUGUAAAGCCCUUUUGUUGGGAAAGAAAAGCAGCAGGUUAAUACCCCGCUGUUCUGACGGUACCCAAAGAAUAAGCACCGGCUAACUUCGUG
RNAcentral lists this ribosomal RNA (492 nucleotides) under uncultured bacterium. RNAcentral's name for it is "partial 16S ribosomal RNA". It matches the Rfam family "Bacterial small subunit ribosomal RNA", at positions 29 to 507 of the family's 1533-position model. The record is from RNAcentral.